This 566-nucleotide ribosomal RNA is filed under the name Bipolaris oryzae. RNAcentral describes it as "eukaryotic LSU rRNA". The stretch from base 189 to 342 matches the Rfam family "5.8S ribosomal RNA". The record is from RNAcentral. Lineage: Eukaryota; Fungi; Ascomycota; Dothideomycetes; Pleosporales; Pleosporaceae.
CGGAGGGAUCAUUACACAACAAAAUAUGAAGGCCUGGCUUUCGCGGCCGGCUGAAGUAUUUUUUUCACCCAUGUCUUUUGCGCACUUGUUGUUUCCUGGGCGGGUUCGCCCGCCACCAGGACCAAACCAUAAACCUUUUUUUCUUAUGCAGUUUCCAUCAGCGUCAGUAAAAACAAUGUAAUUAUUACAACUUUCAACAACGGAUCUCUUGGUUCUGGCAUCGAUGAAGAACGCAGCGAAAUGCGAUACGUAGUGUGAAUUGCAGAAUUCAGUGAAUCAUCGAAUCUUUGAACGCACAUUGCGCCCUUUGGUAUUCCAAAGGGCAUGCCUGUUCGAGCGUCAUUUGUACCUUCAAGCUUUGCUUGGUGUUGGGCGUUUUUUUGUCUCCCUCUUUCUGGGAGACUCGCCUUAAAACGAUUGGCAGCCGGCCUACUGGUUUCGGAGCGCAGCACAUUUUUUGCGCUUUGUAUCAGGAGAAAAGGACGGUACUCCAUCAAGACUCUACAUUUUUCACUUUUGACCUCGGAUCAGGUAGGGAUACCCGCUGAACUUAAGCAUAUCAAUAA